AUACUUACCUGGUGUAGGGGUUACCGUGAUCAAUAAGGCGGUUCCCCCAGAGUGAGGCCUUUCCAUUGCACUACGGAGAGGCUGACCUCUGCGAUUAUCCCUAAUGCGGAUAACUCGGACACGUAAUUUUUGCUAGUAGUUGCUGUAGCAUAACUGG
Diabrotica virgifera virgifera (western corn rootworm) is the source of this 157-nucleotide small nuclear RNA. RefSeq annotates it as U1 spliceosomal RNA. The transcript has a single exon. Lineage: Eukaryota; Metazoa; Arthropoda; Insecta; Coleoptera; Chrysomelidae. The record is from RefSeq and is a predicted model, not a curated record.